This 1356-nucleotide ribosomal RNA is filed under the name Triticum aestivum (bread wheat). Its description in RNAcentral is "partial small subunit ribosomal RNA". Lineage: Eukaryota; Viridiplantae; Streptophyta; Magnoliopsida; Poales; Poaceae. The record is from RNAcentral.
AUGGUCCUGCCGGAGCCAGUGAAGUCGCUACCGCCGGAGCGGGAGACCACCAUCGACCUCACGACAUGGGACCUCUCGAUGAUCUCCUUGGAGUACAACCAGAAGGGCAUCCUCCUGCCGAAACCUCCCACCACCGCAGGACAGGGACACCACGCCGUCGUGGAACGUCUCGCCUCGUCCUUGGCGCGCGCCCUCGGCCGUUUCUACCCCUACGCCGGCCGCCUCGCCGUCACGCCGGGGAGCAAUGCCGGCGGGGAGAGCAUCGUAAUUUCGCUCUGCUGCAGCAUGGAGGGUGCUGAGUUUGUCCAUGCCGUGGCGCCCGGUGUCACCGUGGCCGACGUUAUCAGCACGCCGUUGCGUUUGCGUACACCGGGGGUGCAGGUUCGGUCCUUCUUCUCGUUGGACGGGCUGCACGGCGUGGAUGCCGCCGUGGGCUCCCACCCGCUCCUAGCCGCCCAGGUCACUGAGCUGGCCGACGGUUUCUUCGUGGCCAUGUCGCUCAGCCACGUUGUCGCUGAUGGGACGGCCUUCUGGCACCUCUUCAACACCUGGUCGGAGAUCAGCCGUCGUGGGUGUGACGGUGCCAUCUCCUCGCCUUUGCCGGUGCACCGGAGGUGGUUCCUCGACGGCUGCCCUGUCCCGGUUCCUCUACCCUUCUCCAGGCAGGAGGACAUCCCCGUCAACCGGCGUACGGACGAGCAUCCAUCAUCUGUGAAGGAGGAAUGCUUCCUCAAUUUCCCCGCUGAGAUGAUAAAGAAGCUCAAAGCCAAGGCAAACGCCGAGAUGCCUGGCACUAGCAUCUCGUCGUUGCAGGCCCUGCUUGCGCACCUGUGGAUCGCGGUGUGCCGAGCCAGGAGGCUGGCGCCGGACCAGAGGACAGCGUACGUCCUCGCUGUCGGAUGCCGGGGCCGCGUGGAUGGCCUGCCGGCGGCCUACGCGGGCAACGCUGUCGCACGCGUCGAGGCGGUGUCGACCGCCGGCGAGAUCCUAGAAAGGGGGCUGGGCUGGGCCGCGUCGCUGCUGAACAGAGCGGUGGCGUCGUUCGACGUGGCAAGCGAACGGGGCAGACACGCAUCAUGGCGGCAGAGGCCUAGCUUUCUGCGCGUGCCGUCGCGCCCGACGGCCACGGCAAUGAUGGUGGGGGGCUCGCCGUGGUUCGACGCGUACGGGAACGAUUUCGGGUGGGGGCGGCCGGUGGGCGUGCAGAGCGGCCCAGCGAACAAGAUGGACGGGACGGCGACGGCCUUCGAGGGCAGGUCCGGCGGAGGGAGCAUGGCUCUGGAGGUGUGCCUCCCGCCGGAGGUGCUCGCGAGGCUCGUGGCUGACGAGGAGUUCAUGCGCCACACCGCACAGUAA